GAUGAACGCUGGCGGCGUGCCUAAUACAUGCAAGUCGAGCGAACAGACGAGGAGCUUGCUUUUCUGACGUUAGCGGCGGACGGGUGAGUAACACGUGGAUAACCUACCUAUAAGACUGGGAUAACUUCGGGAAACCGGAGCUAAUACCGGAUAAUAUUUUGAACCGCAUGGUUCAAUAGUGAAAGACGGUCUUGCUGUCACUUAUAGAUGGAUCCGCGCUGCAUUAGCUAGUUGGUAAGGUAACGGCUUACCAAGGCAACGAUGCAUAGCCGACCUGAGAGGGUGAUCGGCCACACUGGAACUGAGACACGGUCCAGACUCCUACGGGAGGCAGCAGUAGGGAAUCUUCCGCAAUGGGCGAAAGCCUGACGGAGCAACGCCGCGUGAGUGAUGAAGGUCUUCGGAUCGUAAAACUCUGUUAUUAGGGAAGAACAUAUGUGUAAGUAACUGUGCACAUCUUGACGGUACCUAAUCAGAAAGCCACGGCUAACUACGUG
RNAcentral lists this ribosomal RNA (497 nucleotides) under uncultured bacterium. RNAcentral describes it as "partial 16S ribosomal RNA". It matches the Rfam family "Bacterial small subunit ribosomal RNA", at positions 28 to 507 of the family's 1533-position model. The record is from RNAcentral.